RNAcentral lists this ribosomal RNA (491 nucleotides) under uncultured bacterium. RNAcentral's name for it is "partial 16S ribosomal RNA". It matches the Rfam family "Bacterial small subunit ribosomal RNA", at positions 28 to 507 of the family's 1533-position model. The record is from RNAcentral.
GAUGAACGCUGGCUACAGGCUUAACACAUGCAAGUCGAGGGGAAACGACUGUGAAGCUUGCUUCCCCUGGCGUCGACCUGCGCACUGGUUAGUAACGCGUAUCCAACCUGCCUCUGACUGAGGGAUAACCCUUCGAAAGUCGCCCUAAUACCUCAUGGCAUCGUCUGCGGUCAUCCAACGACGCUUAAAGAUUUCAUCGGUCGGAGAUGGGGAUGCGUCUGAUUAGCUUGUUGGCGGGGUAACAGCCCACCUAGGCGACGAUCAGUAGUGGUGCUGAAGGGAAGGUACCCUAGAUUGGAACGGAGACACGGUCCAAACUCGUACGGGAGGGAGCAGUGAGGAAUAUUGGGCAAUGGGCGAGAGCCUGAACCAGCCAAGUAGCGUGCAGGAGGACGGCCCUAGGGGUUGUAAACUGCUUUGAUGGGAGGAUAAAGUGAGGGACGUGUCCUUCAUUGCAGGUACCGCAUGAAUAAGGACCGGCUAAUUCCGUG